RNAcentral lists this long non-coding RNA (434 nucleotides) under Homo sapiens (human). RNAcentral describes it as "non-protein coding lnc-NUP88-2:1". Lineage: Eukaryota; Metazoa; Chordata; Mammalia; Primates; Hominidae. The record is from RNAcentral.
UGUUUGCUUGCCUUUUCUAAAGGAUGAAAAAACUACUUCACAGUUUUCACUCUGAGCUCCCAGUUCUCUCUGAUAGUGAGCGAGACAUGAAGAAAGAAUUACAGCUGAUACCUGAUCAACUUCGACAUUUGGGCAAUGCCAUCAAACAGGUUACUAUGAAAAAGGAUUAUCAACAGCAAAAGAUGGAGAAGGUGUUGAGUCUUCCAAAACCCACCAUUAUUCUCAGUGCCUACCAGCGAAAGUGCAUUCAGUCCAUCCUGAAAGAGGAGGGUGAACAUAUAAGGGAAAUGGUGAAGCAAAUCAAUGAUAUCCGCAAUCAUGUAAACUUCUGACACCACCAGGAGCUGACUCACACCUGAACUGAACACCAUUGAAGGCUUAAACCCAUAUUGUAAAACAGGUAGAAUUAUCUAAUUUAUAAAAAGGUGUUUUGA